Molecule: long non-coding RNA, 964 nt
Filed under: Nicotiana benthamiana
Lineage: Eukaryota; Viridiplantae; Streptophyta; Magnoliopsida; Solanales; Solanaceae
Description: long non-coding RNA (NBEN_LNC036870)
Source: RNAcentral
GACUCUAGGGGUUCUGCUAAUUGAGUUAAGGAAGCAAACUGUAUCAUUAUCAAUUGCUUUCUAGAUGGUUCUGCAACACGUUUGGAACAAAAUAAAAAUAUCUUCAUUUUGAAAUUCCAUUGGACUCGACUGGAGUAAUGUAUUAUAGGAAUCAGCCUCUUUCAAUCAAAGAACUAUUUCAACGAUUCCCAUGUUUGUAGUUCGAAAGGAAAAGGAUCCCAGGAAAUUUAUUCGAACCUAAUUCUUACUAAAUUUUCUAUUCCAAUCAAUGGCCUCUUCCUAGGUGAUACUGAGGAGGGCCGGACCCGUUUUUUAUUUGGUUCUCUCUUUACUGUUCAAAGAAAAAGUGGUUUUGUUAAGUGUAUAAGCACUUUGUAUGAGAAAGAAAGGAUAUAAACAUAGUGGUUGUCUAACGAGAUACUAUGCAGAAUAAGAUCUUCAGGUGAGUCACAUAAUUUUCUAUUCCAAUCAAUGGCCUCUUCCUAGGUGAUACUGAGGAGGGCCGGACCCGUUUUUUAUUUGGUUCUCUCUUUACUGUUCAAAGAAAAAGUGGUUUUGUUAAGUGUAUAAGCACUUUGUAUGAGAAAGAAAGGAUAUAAACAUAGUGGUUGUCUAACGAGAUACUAUUUAGAAUAAGAUCGUCAGGUGAGUCACAUAUUGCGCAUUUACCUUUCGAAUUUUGGAAAUUGGAUUUAGACUUUAUCGACUUAUUUCAUAUCAUGGUUCAGGCCUUAAAAAUCAGUGAGGUUUACUCUUCCUUUUCGAUGCCCGUGGAACUACUGUCAAUGGUUUACUCAAUUACUUCUUGGGAAUGUUAAAAAAAAAGAUUACUACGACCUUUCGAAUUUUGGAAAUUGGAUUUAGACUUUAUCGACUUAUUUCAUAUCAUGGUUCAGGCCUUAAAAAUCAGUGAGGUUUACUCUUCCUUUUCGAUGCCCGUGGAACUACUGUCAAUGGUUUACUU